UACAUUCAAAGAGUGCGUAACAGCUCACUAGUCGAGAGUUCCUGCGCCGAAAAUGUCCGGGGCUGAAACACGACACCGAAACCGUGGACUCGCAAUGCGAGUGGUAGAGGAGCAUUCUUAAGACCGACGAAGCUGUACCGGAAGGAGCAGUGGAGGGAUAAGAAGAGAGAAUGCCGGAAUGAGUAGCGAGAGAAAGGUGGGAAUCCUUUCGGCCGAAUAUC
This 221-nucleotide ribosomal RNA is filed under the name Agathobacter rectalis. RNAcentral describes it as "partial 23S ribosomal RNA". It matches the Rfam family "Bacterial large subunit ribosomal RNA", at positions 1118 to 1345 of the family's 2925-position model. The record is from RNAcentral. Lineage: Bacteria; Bacillati; Bacillota; Clostridia; Lachnospirales; Lachnospiraceae.